CUGGGCUCCGCGGCCUCCCCUUGCACCGGACGUGGACCCAGGCUGCCGUUGGGCAAGAUAGAGGACUGAGCCAAGGCACAAACGGCUGGCCAGGGAAACUGCUCCCUGGGCGCCUGGAGGUCCAUAUUGAGAGCGUCCUGCCAGCCAUGAGAGAUCACCUUCCCCUGAUGCAGAGGCAGACCUCUCCCCCUUGAGGCCCAGUGGACACCUGGCUCAGGUCCCAACUGUGUGCCCUGGACACACAGAGCCCCAGAUCUCUGGCACAGACUGGGGUGUGGUUGUGUCGGGGCAGAAAAGGCCCAGAAAAGGCUGGUGAGCCUCUGGUCCGGUACCAGGCAAGUGAUUGGAGUCCCUUUCCAGUUUGGAAACAUCUGGGCAGGCCCAGCUGAUAAGGUUACUUUUCUACUUUGAACAAGCAAACAAGCCAACAGAAGAGAAGUUUCACAAGCAACUCCCAGCACAUCCGCUCACCUAGUGUUGUCUGUGACCUCACUCUCGGUGCCCCACCUCUUAUUACAGAUUGAACAGGGUCCAGGGGGAAGGACCAAGCCUGUCCCAUCGGCCAUCCUAUGUGUCAUGUCCUGGGACCCAGUGGAUGCUCAGCACCUGAAGAAGAUUGUCUUAGACACAUGGAAGCUGAGGACGCCUACUGUCCCCUCGGAACCCAGGUGGGGCUGGGAGUCUGCUGUUUGUAUAGCCGGUGGGCUCGUGUUGCUUUGGGCAUCCCUGUGUCUGAAUUCCUGCAGUACACUCGGUGGUUUUACCUGAACCACCAGCUUCUGCAUCUCUGAAGACAGAUGAUGAGGACCCUUCACGUAAGCCGUUCGCACAGCCCUGUGCAGGCCUUUGUGCUGCACGUUCUGCCCGGCGAGAUAACUGAGUGCAUUCCAUGGUGCAUCCUCGCCUAGAAUUGAGUGGAAGCAAGUCCAUCUCAGAAGGGACAUAACUGAAGAGGGAUGGCUUUCCAGACUCUGAUGGGCAGCGAGAGCUGCAGCCUGGCCCUGUGUAAAACAUGAAGCGUGGACGGCCUGUUGAGCACAGCUCUGCCCUCAAGACCUGUUUCAACUCCUCUCUUCCCGGAAAACAGCAUCUCUGAGCCCGCCCUUGGUGACCUCAGAGAGAUCACCCUAGUGGCCCAGGCUAGUGACCGGGAACAUGUACCUUCCUGCAGCCAACCCCAGACGUCCACUGAUGCAUCAUAUACUGGCAAAGAUCCUGGCCUAGGGGGGCCUUGGCCGCUGGAGAUUCGCCAGAUGUUGGACUCCAGGUAAGCUUGCUCCUGGGAGGUGGGGCGGUUAGGUCAGGGGGCAGCGGCAGCGACAGGGGGGCGGAGCGCGGCUGCCUCUGGCGAACUGUUGGAAUAGCUGCCUUCUCCCGGCUGCCGGGCCUGGGAGCGGCCUCUGCUGCCCCUGGUCACCGUACACGCCUGUCCCGCUCAGCUUGCUGAGUGGGGACGGUGCCAUUAAUGUGCGGGGCCCACGGGGUUAGGGGGGCUGCCGCGCGGAAGCCGGUCAGUUCGCUCAGCUCUCCCCCGCGGCGGAGCCAGUGGCAGCUUCUGCUGCCGUAGAGGCGGGACGCCGGUCUCCAGGUGAGCUUGCCCCUGGGAGGCGGCGGCGGCGGCUGCAGGGGGAGGGGGUCCGUUCCAGGGAGCUGCUCCAUUUCUUCUGUCCCGCGCGGCCUGGCCUGAGGGCGACCUCUGCCGCCGGAGAUUUGCCUGCGGUCCGACUCCAGGUGAGGUUGCACCUGGGAGAUGGGUGCGGUGCAGUCAGGGGGCUGGUAAGGUGGUGGCUGCGGGGAUAGGGAGGCUGCCCCGGGGGAGCUUGUGUAUUAGCUCCCAUGUCUGUGCCGCGUGGCCUGCAGGCGGCCUCUGCUGCGCCAGGUCCCCGGACACCCCUGUCCCACUUUGCCUGCUGGGGGCGGGAGGCAGGGUAGUCAGGGUACACGGGUGGCGGGGGU
Long non-coding RNA from Camelus dromedarius (Arabian camel), 1956 nucleotides. RefSeq lists it as uncharacterized. The record is from RefSeq and is a predicted model, not a curated record. The transcript has 10 exons. Lineage: Eukaryota; Metazoa; Chordata; Mammalia; Artiodactyla; Camelidae.